This is a small nuclear RNA of Piliocolobus tephrosceles (Ugandan red Colobus), 75 nucleotides long. The record is from Ensembl. Lineage: Eukaryota; Metazoa; Chordata; Mammalia; Primates; Cercopithecidae.
GCAUUUUAAGCAGCACAUAUACUAAAAUUGGAACGAUACAGAGAAGAGUUGCAUGGCCCUUACCCAAGGAUGAAA